RNAcentral lists this ribosomal RNA (361 nucleotides) under uncultured bacterium. RNAcentral describes it as "bacterial SSU rRNA". It matches the Rfam family "Bacterial small subunit ribosomal RNA", at positions 29 to 414 of the family's 1533-position model. The record is from RNAcentral.
AACGAACGCUGGCGGCAGGCCUAACACAUGCAAGUCGAACGCCCUAGCAAUAGGGAGUGGCAGACGGGUGAGUAACACGUGGGAACGUGCCUUUCGGUUCGGAAUAACCCAGGGAAACUUGGACUAAUACCGGAUACGUGCGAGAGCAGAAAGAUUUAUCGCCGAAAGAUCGGCCCGCGUCCGAUUAGUUAGUUGGUGAGGUAAUGGCUCACCAAGGCGACGAUCGGUAGCUGGUCUGAGAGGAUGAUCAGCCACACUGGGACUGAGACACGGCCCAGACUCCUACGGGAGGGCAGCAGUGGGGAAGUAUUGGACAAUGGGCGGCAAGCCUGAUCCAGCCAUGCCGCGUGAGUGAUGAAGG